UAGGGAAUCUUCGGCAAUGGACGAAAGUCUGACCGAGCAACGCCGCGUGAGUGAAGAAGGUUUUCGGAUCGUAAAACUCUGUUGUUAGAGAAGAACAAGGACGUUAGUAACUGAACGUCCCCUGACGGUAUCUAACCAGAAAGCCACGGCUAACUACGUGCCAGCAGCCGCGGUAAUACGUAGGUGGCAAGCGUUGUCCGGAUUUAUUGGGCGUAAAGCGAGCGCAGGCGGUUUCUUAAGUCUGAUGUGAAAGCCCCCGGCUCAACCGGGGAGGGUCAUUGGAAACUGGGGGACUUGAGUGCAGAAGAGGAGAAUGGAAUUCCAUGUGUAGCGGUGAAAUGCGUGGAUAUAUGGAGGAACACCAGUGGCGAAGGCGGCUCUCUGGUCUGUAACUGACGCUGAGGCUCGAAAGCGUGGGAAGCAAACAGG
This 429-nucleotide ribosomal RNA is filed under the name Gemmatimonadota bacterium. RNAcentral describes it as "Gemmatimonadetes bacterium partial 16S ribosomal RNA". It matches the Rfam family "Bacterial small subunit ribosomal RNA", at positions 355 to 776 of the family's 1533-position model. The record is from RNAcentral. Lineage: Bacteria; Pseudomonadati; Gemmatimonadota.